GGAUGAUCAGCCACACUGGAACUGAGACACGGUCCAGACUCCUACGGGAGGCAGCAGUGGGGAAUAUUGGACAAUGGGCGCAAGCCUGAUCCAGCAAUGCCGCGUGUGUGAAGAAGGCCUUCGGGUUGUAAAGCACUUUUAUCGGGAACGAAAUACCACGGGUUAAUAACCUAUGGGGCUGACGGUACCCGAGGAAUAAGCACCGGCUAGCUUCGUGCCAGCAGCCGCGGUAAUACGAAGGGUGCAAGCGUUAAUCGGAAUUACUGGGCGUAAAGGGUGCGUAGGCGGUUGUUUAAGUCUGUUGUGAAAUCCCCGGGCUCAACCUGGGAAUGGCAAUGGAUACUGGACAGCUAGAGUGUGUCAGAGGAUGGUGGAAUUUCCGGUGUAGCGGUGAAAUGCGUAGAGACCGGAAGGAACAUCAGUGGCGAAGGCGGCCAUCUGGGACAACACUGACGCUGAAGCACGAAAGCGUGGGGAGCAAACAGGAUUAGAUACCCUGGUAGUCCACGCCCUAAACGAUGCGAACUGGAUGUUGGUCUCAACUCGGAGAUCAGUGUCGAAGCUAACGCGUUAAGUUCGCCGCCUGGGGAGUACGGUCGCAAGACUGAAACUCAAAGGAAUUGACGGGGGCCCGCACAAGCGGUGGAGUAUGUGGUUUAAUUCGAUGCAACGCGAAGAACCUUACCUGGCCUUGACAUGUCCGGAAUCCUGCAGAGACGCGGGAGUGCCUUCGGGAAUCGGAACACAGGUGCUGCAUGGCUGUCGUCAGCUCGUGUCGUGAGAUGUUGGGUUAAGUCCCGCAACGAGCGCAACCCUUGUCCUUAGUUGCCAGCACGUAAUGGUGGGAACUCUAAGGAGACUGCCGGUGACAAACCGGAGGAAGGUGGGGAUGACGUCAAGUCCUCAUGGCCCUUACGGCCAGGGCUACACACGUACUACAAUGGUCGGUACAGAGGGUUGCAAUACCGCGAGGUGGAGCCAAUCCCAGAAAGCCGAUCCCAGUCCGGAUCGAAGUCUGCAACUCGACUUCGUGAAGUCGGAAUCGCUAGUAAUCGCGGAUCAGCUAUGCCGCGGUGAAUACGUUCCCGGGCCUUGUACACACCGCCCGUCACACCAUGGGAGUGAGUUGCUCCAGAAGCCGUUAGUCUAACCGCAAGGGGGACGACGACCACGGAGUGGUUCAUGACUGGGGUGAAGUCGUAACAAGGUA
Molecule: ribosomal RNA, 1210 nt
Filed under: metagenome
Description: bacterial SSU rRNA
Rfam family: Bacterial small subunit ribosomal RNA
Source: RNAcentral